Molecule: non-coding RNA, 4130 nt
Organism: Anas platyrhynchos (mallard)
Lineage: Eukaryota; Metazoa; Chordata; Aves; Anseriformes; Anatidae
Source: RefSeq, a predicted model, not a curated record
AUAUUACAGACCCAGUUUCAUUUACUGUAAGUGCACAGGCUCAAAAAUACUCGUCUUUCCCGCAGAAGAGGCGAGCUGCUGCCACGCUGCCUGGCCCCUCCGGUGCCACCGCGGGAGAUACGGAACCAGGGGCAGAAACCCCACAGUGCCCGUGCCGGGGCUGCCGGCACCGACUCACCCGCUGCACCUCCGGAUCCCCCCCGGCAUCCCUGCCGCGCUCCUUGGAAAGCCUCCCAGGUGCCUUCUGUUCCAGCAGCCACCUGCAGAGGGAAAGGAUCUUCGUUAGCCUGGGUGUCUGCCUUCCCCCCCUGCUCGUGAGCACUGCUUUUGCCUUCAUCAAGCGGAUUUCAGCUGGGUGGAAAUGAAAGCUGCCCCAGCCGGCUUGCCCUUUGGCUGCGGGAUGCGGCGCGCAGGGCGGCGGUGCUGCAGCGGGGAUGGGUGACAAGGGCUGGAGCUCUCAGCUUCUCCUCGCAGUCAAAACCUGCCCAAUUUCUGCCCAAACAGCGUUGAUGCUUAAAUAUCAAGGAGAGGCACCGAGCCCCAUGAGGAAAUAAGGGGGAUGCAGAGCAGAGCUGAGCCUUGGCAUCCUCCCGAGUGCUCCGGCAGCGCUCCGGAGCCAGCGGAGAAGCCCCCGCUCACGGCACCUGGGCACCAGUGUCCCUGGGGGGUAAUUUCGGUGCAGUGCCCACCCCGUGCCCGGCCCCGCACAGAUCUCUCGCACCUUUCCGAAGCUCCCGCACCGCGUCCUGCUGGGCUCCCUCGCUGCAGCUCCUGGCCGCGGAUGGGUCUGGGAGCGUGCGGGGUUUAUAGGGAGGAGAGGGACGGGGAGGCUUUCCCACGGCCCCUGGUCAUCGCCCCGGCAGCCAGCUACACCCAUUGGGAAACGCUGGGGCUUUUUCUCAUCAGAAAGGGCCUUUGCUAUGGAAAAUGCAGGCUGGGACUGCCCUUCUGGGACCGAAAGGCAGAAAUGGGGAUGGGAAUAGGGUGAACGCCUUCUGGUUUUCAAAUCUAGUGGGAAAGCUCCCACGCGGGGUGAAGGCAGAGGCCACGCGGGGCUCGGAUAAGCCCUGGGAAAGGUCUCGUUUCCGAGGGUUUGCAGCAAAACCCCUGGGUGGAAGCAGGGCGAGCAAACGGCAGGGCCAGAGGAGAGUCCCCAGGGCAGCAGUGCUGGCGGCCCCGCAGUGAGGCUCCCGCUCGCAGGCAGCUCCCAGCAGGGGCGGGAGGAGCAGCCCCGCGCUCGCUGCGGUUUGGCUGAUCUGACUGCUCUUGGCGAUGCCGUUCCCUCUCUUCCUCUCCUGCCUUAUUUAACUACUAAGCCGGAUUUGCUGCCAUUCAAAACAAGACCUAUUAAAUGUCAGGCGCGGAGGGGAGUAAAAGUUGCUGACAUCAGGCUUUGUGGGGAUAAAUGAAGUUCUUUAGAAAGCAAGAGAAGGGAAAAGAAAGAAAGAAAGAAAAAAAAACCAAAAACACAUCCCAAACACGUGCUACCUCCAGCACGGCGCGGGAGCCAUGGGGCAGGGAAACCCAGCACAGCCACGGGCACGUGGUGGCUGCAGCACAGCUCCGCUGCCCUCGUGCACCCCGCUCCCGGGGGCUUCUCCCCAAAAGCGGGCCGCCCCUAGCUGCCGUUACGUGUCCCCCACGUGCCUGCCCCAUUUCUUGCCGCCGAUGCCUGUUUUGCAUAAUUUGGGCACGGCGAGGGGUACGGGUCUUAUUUGUUUCAAGAAAAUAAACCGACCCGAAAAUGCCUUACCGGCAUGUUUUUACUCUCUGAUUCAGAGCGAGUCCAGGAAUUAGUCACGCGGUGGCGGAGGGGUUGCAGAGCAGGGGCUGUCUGAAUCAGCGAACCCCAGCCCUGCUCAGAGCCACCCUGCUUCCAAACCGGGGGCUGGCCUGAGCGGAGCUGCAGCCGAGAUGCUCCCGGCCUCGGUGGCGAUGUGCGGAGAACAGGGUUGAUUGGGUAGGGCUUGAUGUUUUUGGCCACGCUUGCGUUUGCUCUCAGAUAUCAGCCCAAGGAGCCGCUCUUGCUGCGGGGGGGGGUUGGUUUUCGCCAGCUGUGAGGGGCUGUGGGAACGUGCACUUGCUGCCCAAGCGGCUCCGUGCUCAGCGCCCGCUGCAUCACAGAGAGAGGGAGGAAAGGGAGAGGGAGCGGAACCAGAUCCCUCCCUCCUAAUGGUUUCAAGAUGCGGCCGGGGGAGCCUUGCGCUGGAAGCGCCGUGCCGUUUCGUGGCCAGCUUGGCUGCAGCUCAAGGGAUGGAGAGCCCCAAAGUGAACCCGGGACCUGCUGAGGCAGGAGGCAUCCGAGCACGGUGCCUUCUGCCCCCACUGCCCUGCUCGUGCCGUGCUCUGCAACACCCGGACCUCGCCCCGAGAAGCAGGGCUGGGAUGUCAGCGCAGCCAGCAGGUGGGAAGCGUCCGACCUGGGGGCAGAAGGCACCCUGCGAGCAUUGCUCCUGCAUCCUGCAUUCCAGCCCAGGUGGGGCAGAGCCUCCCCCCCCCCCACCUGCCUCCCUCCACAUCAUAAUUUUGGGCCAUUUUGACUUUGGGUCAUCACAAAAAGGUGAAAUUUCAGUUUUAGGGGUGAAAUGGCAACGCUGACAGGCCCGGGGAGCAGGAGGGGGUGGCACGUGUGGAUGCAUCGCAGGCUGGAGAACGCUCGUCCUGCUCUCCUGCCUCCUUCCCCCUAAAUAUUGCAACAAAACCAGAAAAAGUCCUUGUUGUCAUCAUCAGCUCUGUGGAAAAAGAUGUUUUUUGGCAGAGCUUCAACAGCCAUUAGUCAGAAACCCCCAAGCCCCUCCAGCGUGCAGGCGCAUGCUUCGCGGUGAGCUUUCUGAAAAGACCAUUUGCUGCAAAAAUUAGGCAGUUGGUUUUUUUUUUUGGUAAAUAUUUUUUUUUUUUUUUUGUCGCUGUCAAAAAUCCAAUUUUCCUUCCAAAGAGAAAAGAAAAGGCAAAAAAGAACCUGGUGGAAAGUUUGCAGCCGGGGAGCGCUGGCGGCGUGCCCCGGGUGCAGCGGGAGGUGGGAGAACGCCCUGCUGUGUGCAGGCUCGGCAGAAGAAAAAAAAAAAAAAAUAAAAACAAAACCCAGGGAAGAAGAUCUGGGGAAGAAAACAAACAAAGAAAAAGUAAAGCUGGUGGGUGUUUCUGGCAGCAGGGACCCCCCAGCCCCGUUUCCCUGGCAGCCCCUGCUGGGUGGAAGGGCUGCAGGAGCAUCCCAGCAAGUGGCAUCGCCACCUUGGGUCGGGGUUUUUGGCACCGCUGGGGUGUUUGUCUGUCCGAGUAGAGACUGCAGCACCAAGUGGAUCAACCCCUCCUUGUUCAGAAACCUGCAGCCGGACAGGAUCCCGUGGGAUGGACAACAUGCUGGUGAGAGUCUUGUGUCCAAACCCCUUCCCAGCCCUCUGAAGCCUGGGUCCGGUGAGCGCCCGCCCAGCAUGCCAGCACCUGCCUUCCCGCGGAGCGAAAAACAAGUCGCUAAGUCACAGCAAAACCAUGAAAGAAAAACCACAGAGACCUAAAGCACCUCUGAGUCACUCCCCCGGCCCGCUGCACCGUGACAUUCCUCCAAAACUCGCCGCCACCUGCGGACGGUCCCUGACUGCUGAGCGGUGCCUGGAGCUCUGGCAUGGCACGGGAUGGCACGGGAUGGCACGGGAUGGCACGGGACAGCACGGCACAGCACAACGUGCCCCGGCCAGCCCCACUGCAGGAGUGUGCGUGCAGGAUUUAACAGCUGGAGGGAGCACGAGUGGGGCUGAUGCUGGCUACGUGGCCGCACCCCCAGCACCUUGCCAUGCCGCGCUGCGCGUGUGCCGGUUCAGACGGCGAUAUUCGCGCUCUCCCUCCUGUUUUAGCACCUUCCAGGCUGCCCAAAGCCCGUGCCUGGGUGUGCAGGGCUGGGGACGGCCGCUGCCACCUCGCAGAGGUGAGAGCAGAGUGCAGGGAGGCAGGGGGGCUGCUCCCAUGGGCUGAGCACGGCCAAAACCGGCCCCAAGCUGGUGCCCUGCAGAGCCCAAACCUUUCCCUCACCUCUUUCCCGUAAAAUCACCUGUAUACGUAUUUUUUUUUUUAAUUGUAAAAAAUGCUCGUCUGAAACUUGAAUGGAGAUUAAACAUUCACAGAAAGUGCUAUCA